AUUGAACGCUGGCGGCAGGCCUAACACAUGCAAGUCGAACGGUAACAGGAAGAAGCUUGCUUCUUUGCUGACGAGUGGCGGACGGGUGAGUAAUGUCUGGGAAACUGCCUGAUGGAGGGGGAUAACUACUGGAAACGGUAGCUAAUACCGCAUAACGUCGCAAGACCAAAAAGGGGGACCUUCGUGCCUCUUGCCAUCGGAUUUGCCCAGAUGGGAUUAGCUAGUAGGUGGGGUAACGGCUCACCUAGGCGACGAUCCCUAGCUGGUCUGAGAGGAUGACCAGCCACACUGGAACUGAGACACGGUCCAGACUCCUACGGGAGGCAGCAGUGGGGAAUAUUGCACAAUGGGCGCAAGCCUGAUGCAGCCAUGCCGCGUGUAUGAAGAAGGCCUUCGGGUUGUAAAGUACUUUCAGCGGGGAGGAAGGGAGUAAAGUUAAUACCUUUGCUCAUUGACGUUACCCGCAGAAGAAGCACCGGCUAACUCCGUG
RNAcentral lists this ribosomal RNA (490 nucleotides) under uncultured bacterium. RNAcentral describes it as "partial 16S ribosomal RNA". It matches the Rfam family "Bacterial small subunit ribosomal RNA", at positions 30 to 507 of the family's 1533-position model. The record is from RNAcentral.